AACGAACGCUGGCGGCAGGCCUAACACAUGCAAGUCGAACGCUCUAGCAAUAGAGAGUGGCAGACGGGUGAGUAACGCGUGGGAAACUUCCUAGGGGUACGGAAUAGCUCAGGGAAACUUGGGGUAAUACCGUAUGAUGCCGUAAGGCCAAAGAUUUAUCGCCCUUAGGUGUGCCCGCGUCGGAUUAGCUAGUUGGUGAGGUAACGGCUCGCCAAGGCGACGAUCCGUAGCUGGUUUGAGAGAAUGACCAGCCACACUGGGACUGAGACACGGCCCAGACUCCUACGGGAGGCAGCAGUGGGGAAUCUUGGACAAUGGGCGCAAGCCUGAUCCAGCCAUGCCGCGUGAGUGACGAAGGCCUUAGGGUUGUAAAGCUCUUUUGCCGGGGACGAUAAUGACGGUACCCGGAGAAUAAGUCCCGGCUAACUUCGUGCCAGCCGCCGCCGUAA
RNAcentral lists this ribosomal RNA (449 nucleotides) under uncultured bacterium. Its description in RNAcentral is "partial 16S ribosomal RNA". It matches the Rfam family "Bacterial small subunit ribosomal RNA", at positions 29 to 523 of the family's 1533-position model. The record is from RNAcentral.